RNAcentral lists this transfer RNA (73 nucleotides) under Ovis aries (sheep). RNAcentral describes it as "tRNA-Glu (TTC) (tRNA-Glu-TTC-13-1)". It matches the Rfam family "tRNA". Rfam says of the family: Transfer RNA (tRNA) molecules are approximately 80 nucleotides in length. The record is from Rfam by way of RNAcentral. Lineage: Eukaryota; Metazoa; Chordata; Mammalia; Artiodactyla; Bovidae.
UCCUUGGUGGUCUAGUGGUUAAGACUUGGCGCUUUCACUGCCAAGGGCACAGGUUCAAUCCCUGGUCAGGGAA